AGGGGGGACUUGGAGAGGAGACCUUGGGGACCGUGUCAAAGUUUUCUGUGCCGGAGCAGGGACAAACAUUGGGCAAACAUUGGGAAAGGCUGGCAGCCUUUGAGAUAGUGGGCCGUUGAUCUAAGACUGAGGAGCUAAAGUCCACUAUCUCCCGUCUGAUACAGCAGCCAAGGUCUUGCUGACACACACAGCCACAGAACAAACAUGGAUACCUGAAGACAAUGACCUUUGAACUCCCAGUGGGAGAGGUGGUAAAAAACAGGAAGUGGUGAAAGUGACUCCAGUGACUUCCUCCCUGCAGGCCAAGAAUGAAUCAGGUGGAAUGAUUAGCAGACGGUCGGUGUUGUACAAAGAUGCUGUCUCAGCCCAACCUAAGGAGCUGUAGCCUCCGGUUAAGGCAAGCGGAGGGAGGCAGGCGGAGGACGAGAGGGAAAAGCAACACGGGAGGGAGAGAGAAAAAAAAAAGAAUAAAAGCAAGCAAGCAAGAAAGACACAAAAGAAGCAACUCCAAAAAUGAGCAUCAAAGCAAAAAGAGUGAAAAGCAGUCAGGCAGGAACAAAAGGAAGAAAAGGAACAGUGCAUCGGGCAGGCGUGGUGGAAAAUACAACAGAGGUCAUGAUAAGAAAACUGCAAAAUGACACAGAGAGAACACACUGAGCCUUUUUAAAAUAGUCUUGUAUUUUUCUUCAAAGACUCCUAAACUCAUCAGCAAAUAAAAUCCACACUCACAAACCAUAAAAUGUGUGGUGAUGUGUUGAACGUUUGCUUUUAAAGAUAAGUAGGAAAUUAGAAUGUGUUCUAAUUAUUGUGGACAAUUAUUUUAUUGUAUGCAGUUAGAUUCUCCUUGGAUUAAAAAAAAAAUGUAAUUUGUAACUUUUUAUAUUACAACAUUUUGUGAAUUGGACCAACUACAUACACACAAUGCACACAGUGUAUUGGUCACAUGUAUAACUGCAAUGAUUAGUCGAUCAGGUGAUUUUGAUAAAUGAUUAAUUGCUCUAGUUAUUUAUUAUAAAUAAAAAAUGCUGCUGCUUUCAGCUUAUCAAAUGUGAAGAUUUGACGAUAUUUGACAUCUUAUGGACAAAAUGAUGAACUGAGACUAUAACAGGCAGAUUAUCUAAGAAUGAAAAUAACUGUUAAUUGCAGUUCCAGUUUGAAGGAGCCAAAUUUACAAGCAGUUUGUCUUCAAGCUUAAUAUAUGCUUAAUUUCUACAACCUGUAAAAAUGAUUACUGUAGUCCGUUCCAAUACUGUAGGUUGUGGAGGUGAUUCCACUGUAUGUGUGUUUGUGCGUGUGAGUUUGGCGAUUGUUACAUUUAGCUUGAUGAGGAGGCACCUGCGGUUGUCUGGAGCCUGUGGAGAAAACUAGGCUGGGAGGUUGGUGCUCUACAGCCAAACCCAAAUCAUUAGUGCAUUGAAUGACUAAGGGAGCAAAGCAGCACUGAUUCACCCGAAAACGAUGCACUGUACAGUGAAUCCAUAAACUGUGAUCAGGAACACACUCAAAACUGAAAAAAGUAAUACAAUAUCUUUAUAUAAGCUCUAUUAAUGAUAUCUUUCCACCCAUCACAUCUUCCCACCCAUCACACACACACUCAAUGUUUUUUUUUAUUGUGUGUGUACCUUGUGGAAGGUGAUAUAAAUAAACCACAAACAACAAAUGUUUUUUCCGCUCUGUUUUUCAUUUUUAUUUCCAUUUUUUAUUCAUUUUGCACAAGCUUGCAUAUAUACUGCACAUACAUUCAGUUCAUAGGGGAUGAAGGCACGAAAGGCAAUUUGACUACUGGUUGUUUUUGGGCUGGGCCAAAAGUAAUACAGGGGGAAAAAUCUCAAGAGAAAAUACAAAACUGCUUAAAACUAGUUUCAGCUUUCUAGCCCACGCUCGGCCCUGUCCAGGAACAAAAACAUAACAGCCUUUUUUUUUUUUUUUAAACUGACUAGUUCCAUUUAGCUGCCAAGAUCUCCAUUUAAUCAUUUUUGUCAAUUGAAUGAGCACGCUAGAAUACUAAGUUUUUUUAAAAUUCACUUUUAGGUAGAUAAGGAUUAAAAUCUUUUAAGUUGGUUCUACUUAAUGAAAUGCAGUACAGCCUUCCCUGUUUGAAAAACAAAAGAAAACAACAUCAAAUAAAUUAGGAUAAAUUAAACCAAUAAAUUACACAAAAUCUGCAAGACAAAUAGACACCAAUAAAAGAAAAAAAAGCAGCCAUGUCGUGAGUUUUAUUUUACAACCUGUGUGUAAUUAUUCAGACUGUAUUUGAAACAUGGCUGUUCCAGUUGGAAUUACUGCACUAGAAUCGAAUAAUAAUGUCAUACAAAAAGCAUCAACAAAACACUAUUUACAUAACAUAUUGCUAAGUUAUACAAAGGCAGUAUUUAUCACUGUAAGUCCACAUCAUUGAUAUUUACAAAAAAAGAGGAGCGAUGUAAUGAUAAUAAAAAAAAGAAUUACUACUGAAAGCAUAGAGAAACAAAAACCCCUUUCAAACAGGUCAGAAAACAGAUCAGAGGAAAUUAUCACAACACACACACGCACACACACCAAACACACGUUGCCAACGCUUAAUGAGAAUCAUUUACAUGUCAGGAUGGUACUCCCAGGGGUGGGGGAGGGGCCACAGUGUUGAGAAUUGUGUCACUCACUGGUUCACAGGUUCUCAUAAUCGGUCUUUUCUCUCACUCAGACACACACUCAUAUACAUCUGCGCGCACACACACACACACACACACACACACACACACACACACACACAA
Molecule: long non-coding RNA, 2750 nt
Organism: Lates calcarifer (barramundi perch)
Lineage: Eukaryota; Metazoa; Chordata; Actinopteri; Centropomidae
Exons: 2
Source: RefSeq, a predicted model, not a curated record